GUGCCAGCAGCCGCGGUAAUACGUAGGUGGCAAGCGUUGUCCGGAAUUAUUGGGCGUAAAGGGCGUGUAGGCGGCCAGACAAGUCUGUCUUAAAAGUGCGGGGCUCAACCCCGUGAUGGGAUGGAAACUGUCGGGCUAGAGUGUCGGAGAGGAAAGCGGAAUUCCUAGUGUAGCGGUGAAAUGCGUAGAUAUUAGGAGGAACACCAGUGGCGAAAGCGGCUUUCUGGACGACAACUGACGCUGAGGCGCGAAAGCCAGGGGAGCAAACGGGAUUAGAUACCCCGGUAGUCCUGGCCGUAAACGAUGGGUACUAGGUGUAGGAGGUAUCGACCCCUUCUGUGCCGGAGUUAACGCAAUAAGUAUCCCGCCUGGGGAGUACGGCCGCAAGGCUGAAACUCAAAUAAAUUGACGG
RNAcentral lists this ribosomal RNA (412 nucleotides) under uncultured bacterium. RNAcentral describes it as "bacterial SSU rRNA". It matches the Rfam family "Bacterial small subunit ribosomal RNA", at positions 505 to 916 of the family's 1533-position model. The record is from RNAcentral.